UCAUGUUUAAUGUUUUACUUUUUUGUAGCACGGACCUUUUUGAAGGAGUGUUCAGGCCAAAACAAAGAUUUGGUUUCUUCCAUUGCUUUUUCUAGUGUAGUACCUAACACAACCAAUGCAAACCAUCAGCAUGUAAAUGUUUUGGUGACGUCAGGAGGGUUAAUACCCUCUCUUGUCAAAUGCUUGCUCUUUCGUCUCGACGGUUUAAUACCACAUGGAAAUGGUAAGUUGUUGUCUUCUCUUAAUAAACUUAUGACGAAUAUCAAUAUCUUUUUAUAGUUCGUUAGUGUAGCUUGCCAUUGUUAAUAAAUUUCAUGAUUAUUUUGUUUCAGUUUAUAGCUCUUGUGUAGUGGGAAAAACUCAAUGUUUCCGAUGGAUCAAGGAGCGUUUCAACCAUCCGAAUGUCCGCUUUUGUGUAAUUGGAGAUGGAUGGGAAGAAUGUCAAGCUGCGGAAAUCAUGAGAUGGCCAUUUAUUAGGAUUGACCUGCGGCCAGACAAACUUCAUAGGUUCCCUGGUCUCUCAUUGACAACAGUUGGCCACUAUUUUGCAGUGGUAUACGGAAGCCCAGAUGAUGAGAAUGAUGCUACCUAGCCUUCUCUGGAAUUUCUCUACAAAAGAUUUCCACAAAAUAGUUGAAAUCGUGUUGCUAAAUGUAUGAAUUGUUGCCUUAAUAUUGCUGUCACAACUUUGGUGGUAAUUGGUCUUUAGAAGAGAUUAGAUUUAACUAUUUCCUCUUGCAAUGCAAUAGCUUAAGAUGUAUAGAUGUUUAAGUUGAUGGAAUGUAGAUGAUCCACCACUUAUCAUGUAUGUAACAUGCUUCAAAUUUAUAAUUAGCAGUAGUUGAUUAAUUGGUUUUAGGUCUUGGAUGUUUCGACGGAGAAACAAGUUGCUUAUUAUAAAAAGUACAGGUGUCAAACGGGGGGAGGCGGGCAAGUUCGAGCUGACUCGCCACUAGCAACCAGUCAAAAUUAGAAAAGAAGUUCACUCGUAUUUUAAACGGCUCAAGAAAAUGCUAAUAUAACUUGGCUAAUAUAACUUGAUUUGUUGGAGUUUACGAGUUAGACGAGUCGAUUUGUUUGAAUUUUUUUUUUUUUUUAAUUUUGGAUGUUUAGACAAAGAAAACAAGUGGCUUAUAAAAGGUAAAGAUAAAAUGUAUGAAACAAGAAAUUAAUUGGGUAGCCGGUGUGUAUUUGUUAAAUUACAAUUAGUGGAAAAAGUUACGAAAUAAAUAAUAAAAGGCUAAAGAAUUAUUUUAAUUCUUAACAUUUCAACCAAGUUUUAACUUCGGUUAAGUUUCAAUUUAACAUAAUUUAAUAUAAUUGCGUAAUAUAAAAUCCAACACAAAUCCAUACUAUAUUCAUUAGGAAAAAUAACAAUUUAAAAGAAAAUAUGUGAGAGUGAAAGUGUGGGUGUGGCUGUUGCAAGAAAGACCAAAGAAGAGGGAUUAAUUUAGGAUUAAGAGAUGUAUAUAUAUAAAGAAAGACUAGAUAAUUUUUAUAUUUAUGAGAAUUUAGCAAGUCCUUGUAGGGUGGAUACCUGUGUCCCUGAUCUCGUCUCUUUAUAUUUGCGGAGAUGGGUCUCUGACCCUGUUUUUAUUUACGUGGGUUUGCAUUUAGCCUCUCGUCCCAAGUCUUUUUUGCGAAUACCCUUUUUAGGGGGUUUUUUUUGUCCUCCAGAAGUGUAAGGAUAAUUUUAAAAAGUAUUUACAAUGAAUAUAAAAGAAAAGUAGUGAAAACAAAGAUAGAAAGAGUAAAUAUACAUAAUGUUUAGGGAAAAAGACAAAUAAGUUCCUGACUUUUUAAACUUUUGACAAAUACAUUUCUGACAAAAUUUAAAUACAAAAAAGUCCCUGACUUUAACAAAUGGAGGACAAUUUAGUCCUUCCGUCUAUUUGCCUCUCAUACACCAAACGGAACUGGCUGACGUGGCUGAAACGGUGUCCAGGUAUCCGUUACGGUGCCACGCUGGAAGGGGAAUAAAGUUCGAAGGACAAAUAAGUCUUUGACGUCAUUUUACAAAUAAAGUUCGAAGGACAAAUAGGUCCUUGAGAAUUUUUUUUUUUCAAAAUUAAUAAACUCCUUUCCUAAAUUCUCUAAUGCUAAUUUAAUACAUAAAUGAUGCACAAAUGAACUAAUGCUAACUUGAUGCAUAAAUGAACUGAUACUAACUAAUGCCACUGGUAUGAUGAAAACUGAACUAAUGCAAUUUACAAAUUCUAAUAUAAUACACAAAUACACUAAAACUGAACUAAUGCAAUUUAAGAAAAAAAAAAGUAGAAACAGAACAAACCCAAUUUCUACAAUUUUAAUACAAAUAAUUUAAAUAGUAGAAUACAACAAGUUAACUAUAUUUCAAAAUACAAGUAUGAGAUAUGAGAUGAGCCCGCAAGUACAUCAGGUUAAAAUAGACGAUACAUAACAUAGUUUCCGGAGCAUUAUUAAAGUGAUGAAUAUGCUGGAAGUUUGUACUAAACUAACUUUUUAACCUUAGUUGUCAGUAUUUAUCUAAUGGUUUAAAGUAAUGAGAAAAAAAGUUUAGUUACUUUUUAAGAUUAUUGUUAUCAAAUUUUUAGUUAUUUUUGAAAAAAUGGAGAAUGAGUUGCAGAAAUGGUAGAUGGUUAAAAACAUUUUUCAACCUUAUGAGAUGAGCCCGCAAGUACAUCAGGUUAAAAUAGACGAUACAUAACAUAGUUUCCGGAGCAUUAUUAAAGUGAUGAAUAUGCUGGAAGUUUGUACUAAACUAACUUUUUAACCUUAGUUGUCAGUAUUGCUUAUUUAUCUAAUGGUUUUGGACUUUAUACAAUAUUAUGUGAUAUAUCGUGUAUCCAUUACUUCCCAAUAUUCCUUUUAGAAUCUGAUGUAUCAGUAUGUCUUGCUGAGGUAAAUAGAUAUUGAGUCAUUGAUUUUCAGAAGAAUGUGUAAGAACAUGGUACCUUGAACGGUUAUAGGUUAUAACAGUGGCAGAAAUAGGAUAGAGCAGUAGUAGAGAUGUAGAAUAUAGCAGAAAGUGAGAUAGGAAUGCAGGUGUUGUAUGAUAUCAGAAUGAUAUCAUUCUCUGCCUCUACUGGUGUUGCUGUUGAAUUCACUCCUCUUUUUUCUUAUAGUAACUAUCCUCUCUCUCCUCUAACAAAAUCAUUUUCUCAAUGCUCACAUCCUCUAACAAGAGCUCGUCCCACUUCAUUUCUCUCUUCUUUUUCCCAUUGAUACUUCAACAAACUUGACCGAAUUCUUCUCUCUUAUGAGCCUUGCUUUUUAGUGCGAAAUGGUAACUUUCUUUUUAAUGAUUGAAACAUGAUUCACUAGAUGAACUGAGAAAAGAACUAGAGCUCGAUAGUUAGGGUGUAAGUAACCAAAUAAGUUGUAGUUUUACUUGGCAUUUGCUUCCCAUCAUUAAGGUGAUCUAAGGAUACAUUUAAAUAACCUUGCCACUUGUUUUAGGGUUUGCAUAAUAUUUUAGAUCACGAGGCGCAGAAAUUUUGGGAUGAAUUGUAUGAUAAAACUGAUGAAUAUACUGACAGAUGGCUGUCUUCAGGUAUGUUUUCCAAUUAUAUGAAUUCUAUUGCUUGAUCUGUUUCAUUUAUAUCUUUCAUGUUUAAUGUUUUACUUUUUUGUAGCACGGACCUUUUUGAAGGAGUGUUCAGGCCAAAACAAAGAUUUGGUUUCUUCCAUUGCUUUUUCUAGUGUAGUACCUAACACAACCAAUGCAAACCAUCAGCAUGUAAAUGUUUUGGUGACGUCAGGAGGGUUAAUACCCUCUCUUGUCAAAUGCUUGCUCUUUCGUCUCGACGGUUUAAUACCAC
Molecule: long non-coding RNA, 3800 nt
Filed under: Arachis ipaensis
Lineage: Eukaryota; Viridiplantae; Streptophyta; Magnoliopsida; Fabales; Fabaceae
Description: long non-coding RNA (AIPA_LNC002012)
Source: RNAcentral